Molecule: ribosomal RNA, 462 nt
Filed under: uncultured bacterium
Lineage: Bacteria
Description: partial 16S ribosomal RNA
Rfam family: Bacterial small subunit ribosomal RNA
Source: RNAcentral
GAUGAACGCUGACAGAAUGCUUAACACAUGCAAGUCUUUGGCGAAGCUGUGCUUGCACAUCCUAGCCAAGGCGGACGGGUGAGUAACGCGUAAUGAACUUGCCCUGCCGUCAGGGAUAACAGACGGAAACGACUGAUAAGCCCUGGUAAAGUCAUGCGGACUCAUGUCCAGCCUGAUGAAAAGAGCUGCUGCAGGAGAGCCUUGCGUCCUAUUAGCUUGUUGGUGGGGUAACGGCCCACCAAGGCUAUGAUAGGUAGCCGGCCUGAGAGGGUGGACGGACAGAAGGGGACAGAGAUACGGGACUGACACGGAAGGGAGGAAGCAGUGGGGAAGAAUGGACAAUGGGGGCAAGACGGAGCCAGGAAGUCUGUGUGAACGAUGAAGGUUUUCGGAUAGUAAAGUGCUUUCAGCAGGGAAGAAAAAAAGGACGGUACCUGCAGAAGAAGCGACGGCUAAAUACGU